GCCCGUAACACUGGGAUCCCCCUGAGUAACUGGGGCAAACAUCCCUCUAGGAGCGCCAUACCGCAUGGCCGCCUGUUUGAAACAUUUAUCUGUUUGUGGAUGGACUCUCGACCCAUCAGCUUAUUUGGUGACGUACCGGCUCACCGACGAAACGACGGGUAUCCGGCCUGAGAGGGUGACCGGCCACACUGGGACUGAGACACGGCCCAGACUCCUACGGGAUGCAGCAGUGGGGAAUAUUGCACAAUGGGCGCAAGCCUGAUGCAGCGACGCCGCGUGAGGGAUGACGGCCUUCGGGUUGUAAACCUCUUUCAGUAGGGAAGAAGCGAAAGUGACGGUACCUGCAGAAGAAGCACCGGCUAACUACGUGCCAGCAGCCGCGGUAAUACGUAGGGUGCGAUCGUUAUCCGGAAUUAUUGGGCGUAAAGAGCUCGUAUGCUGUUUGCCGCGUCUGUCGUGAAAGUCCGGGGCUUAACCCCGGAUCUGCGGUGGGUACGGGCAGACUAGAGUGCAGUAGGGGAGACUGGAAUUCCUGGUGUAACGGUGGAAUGCGCAGAUAUCAGGAGGAACACCGAUGGCGAAGGCAGGUCUCUGGGCUGUAACUGACUCUGAGGAGCGAAAGCAUGGGGAGCGAACAGGAUUAGAUACCCUGGUAGUCCAUGCCGUAAACGUUGGGCACUAGGUGUGGGGACCAUUCCACGGUUUCCGCGCCGCAGCUAACGCAUUAAGUGCCCCGCCUGGGGAGUACGGCCCGCAGGGUUAAAACUCAAAGGAAUUGACGGGGGGCCCGCACAAGCGGGCGGAACAUUGCGGGAUUAUUUCGAUUGCACCGCAAAAAAACCUUACCAAGGGCUUGACAUUGUUCUCCGAUCCCCCGUUGAAGAUACCGGUUUUCCCCUUUGGGGGGCGGGUUUACAAGGGGGUGCAUGGGUUGUCCUUCCGCUCCUGUGUCGUGAAAAUGUUGGGGUUUAAAGCCCCCCAACCGAACCGCCAACCCCUUCUUUCUCAUUUUUG
This 1014-nucleotide ribosomal RNA is filed under the name Micrococcus sp. R69Y. RNAcentral describes it as "bacterial SSU rRNA". It matches the Rfam family "Bacterial small subunit ribosomal RNA", at positions 128 to 1121 of the family's 1533-position model. Lineage: Bacteria; Bacillati; Actinomycetota; Actinomycetes; Micrococcales; Micrococcaceae. The record is from RNAcentral.